CAGCCGCCGCGGGAAUACGAAGGGGGCUAGCGUUGUUCGGAAUUACUGGGCGUAAAGCGCACGUAGGCGGAUAUUUAAGUCAGGGGUGAAAUCCCGCAGCUCAACUGCGGAACUGCCUUUGAUACUGGGUAUCUUGAGUAUGGAAGAGGUUAGUGGAAUUGCGAGUGUAGAGGUGAAAUUCGUUGAUAUUCGCAGGAACACCAGUGGCGAAGGCGGCUAACUGGUCCAUAACUGACGCUGAGGUGCGAAAGCGUGGGGAGCAAACAGGAUUAGAUACCCGCGUAGUCCCUGUCUCUUAUAC
This 301-nucleotide ribosomal RNA is filed under the name uncultured bacterium. RNAcentral describes it as "partial 16S ribosomal RNA". It matches the Rfam family "Bacterial small subunit ribosomal RNA", at positions 509 to 807 of the family's 1533-position model. The record is from RNAcentral.